This 510-nucleotide ribosomal RNA is filed under the name uncultured Glomus. RNAcentral's name for it is "SSU rRNA". It matches the Rfam family "Eukaryotic small subunit ribosomal RNA", at positions 536 to 1049 of the family's 1831-position model. Lineage: Eukaryota; Fungi; Glomeromycota; Glomeromycetes; Glomerales; Glomeraceae. The record is from RNAcentral.
CACGGGGGUUGGAGGGCAAGUCUGGUGCCAGCAGCCGCGGUAAUUCCAGCUCCAAUAGCGUAUAUUAAAGUUGUUGCAGUUAAAAAGCUCGUAGUUGAAUUUCGGGAUUGACGUGACGGUCGUGCCUUAAGGGGUAUGAACUGUCGUUGUUGAUUUCUCACCUUCUGGAGAAGCUCGAUGUCCUUAAUUGGAUGUCUUGUGGAACCAGGACCUUUACCUUGAAAAAAUUAGAGUGUUUAAAGCAGGCAUUUUGCUCGAAUACAUUAGCAUGGAAUAAUAGAAUAGGACGGCAUGGUUCUAUUUUGUUGGUUUCUAGGAUCACCGUAAUGAUUAAUAGGGAUAGUUGGGGGCAUUAGUAUUCAAUUGUCAGAGGUGAAAUUCUUGGAUUUAUUGAAGACUAACUACUGCGAAAGCAUUUGCCAAGGAUGUUUUCAUUAAUCAAGAACGAAAGUUAGGGGAUCGAAGACGAUCAGAUACCGUCGUAGUCUAACCAUAAACUAUGCCGACUAG